This 485-nucleotide ribosomal RNA is filed under the name uncultured bacterium. RNAcentral describes it as "partial 16S ribosomal RNA". It matches the Rfam family "Bacterial small subunit ribosomal RNA", at positions 28 to 507 of the family's 1533-position model. The record is from RNAcentral.
GAUGAACGCUGGCGGCGUGCUUAACACAUGCAAGUCGAACGGGAUCCAAGGGGUGCUUGCACUUUUUGGUGAGAGUGGCGAACGGGUGAGUAACACGUGAGUAACCUGUCCUUUUCUUUGGGAUAAGCAUUCGAAAGGGUGUUUAAUACCUUAUGUUCUGUCUGCCUCGCAUGGGGUGGGUGGGAAAGGCUUUGGCCGGAUUUGGGUGGGCUCGCGGUCUAUCAGCUUGUUGGUGGGGUGAUGGCUUACCAAGGCUUUGACGGGUAGCCGGCCUGAGAGGGUGGUCGGUCACAUUGGGACUGGGAUACGGCCCAGACUCCUGCGGGAGGCAGCAGUGGGGGAUAUUGCACAAUGGGCGAAAGCCUGAUGCAGCGACGCCGCGUGGGGGAUGAAGGCCUGCGGGUUGUAAACUUCUUUUGCUCUGAACAAGGCAUGCCAGUGGGUGUGUUGAGUGUAGGGGUUGAUUAGCGCCGGCUAACUACGUG